CUGGAAAGGAGGGAUCAGGUGUUGGGAUCCUCUGACUCUGUAAACGUCAGGAAUGAAUUUCAGUUCCUGCCUCUGUCUCCUAACCGGUGGCACAGGAGGUCCGAGGCGGUGUUGGCCGAAGGUACAGAAGGUGCGGAAGGUUUAAACAGGCAUAAAAUUCGGCAAAGCCUUGGGAGGGAUCGUCGCCUUCUUCCCUGGAACCUGGGGAAGCCGUGGUGGCAGCAGACCCAUUUCCGCGAGGCACCCUCCCCGGAAGCGCCUCCCCAGCCAGCCGAUCCCGGCGUCUCGCUGAUGUAAACAGAAAGCGGAAGCCACGCAGGGGUGUGCAGCACGGAUGCACCUGUUCCGUGCUUUAAAACUUUCCCAGCGCCGUUCGGCGAGCACUCAGUCCUGCCCGGACACAGACGCCAUUUCGUUUCCCCGUUAGACACAGGGCGUCCAGGAUACGACGGCCACCAAGCAAAAUCCCGCUCGUUCUCUGCGUGAAGAGUCUCGCUUCGCAAGAAUUCAGAACACCUUGACCAUCACGUGACCUUGCAGCUUCUGUGGGACUUGACCCCCCCACGUGGCACCACUCUUACCCAUCACCUAUCCGUCCAUCUCCAUCCACACUUGUCCACAGCAGUCCUGCAGGAGCUCGGGGCUGUUGAGAUGCGUUCCCAGGUGACAGCAAGGUGUGGGGUGAGGAAGGACACGCAGAAAUACCCUGACCCACAGAAAAGGGAGCGGUACUCUCUGCCUCCAGUCUAAGAAUAGUAGUUGGGCGAGUUUUACAUGCCCAUAAAUUCCUAAGUCCGUCCUUACUGUGUGGGUCUGUAUUACCCAGAAUCUAACCAAAACCAAAGUCAAUUCUAACGGUC
Molecule: long non-coding RNA, 860 nt
Organism: Felis catus (domestic cat)
Lineage: Eukaryota; Metazoa; Chordata; Mammalia; Carnivora; Felidae
Exons: 2
Source: RefSeq, a predicted model, not a curated record